Molecule: long non-coding RNA, 1179 nt
Filed under: Homo sapiens (human)
Lineage: Eukaryota; Metazoa; Chordata; Mammalia; Primates; Hominidae
Description: novel transcript, sense intronic to GSE1
Source: RNAcentral
GAACAAAACAGCCCCUGCUAUCAGAGAGCUCCAGUCUGGUUGGGAAGGCCUGUUCUUCAUGCAUGAAUGGAGAAGAUGGUUAGUCAUCCUGCAGUGGUUUAGUGAGCACCUGCUGUUCUCAGUGAAGGCUACUGCACGCAGGCCUCUUCUCACGGACCUCAACGAACGCUGAGCUGCUCUUCUCUUUGAAUUCCAAAGAGACAUCUAAAGGAAGCCCUCAGCUCUGAAGACCACCUAGCUGGAAUCUCAGAGGGAGAGCUGGGGACAGGAAAGGAUGACUACUCCCACCAUUCUGUGGACACCGAGUCCAGCCUCCGGGAGGACGCUGAGGGAACCUUUUGGGACAGCCAGGGCAGAGAACGCCUUUUACUUCUUAAGGCUCUGGAUCAAAACAGAGAAGCUUCUGUUUUGGAGCCUGGCAAUCCUCGAACAUCAGUGUGCAUUUUAAGCCAUAAAGCGCAAUACUGAUUACAAACAGGAAUACGGAGGGCUUCCUUUAAACUGCUUCAGAAAACAAACUCCUCGGGGACUUCGAAAGGAGCUCUCACCAUAGCUCCUGCAAUCCACUCUGAACAGGAAACCUUCUCAUCUAUUUAUUAAAACUGACCCCAGAAAGAUUUUCAACAGGGAAGCCUGGCUUUAUGUUGUGUAUAGCCACAAAGAAGAACAUAUAUUUUUAAAACACAUUGCCUGGGGAAGGCUCUCGCUCUGUCAGUGGUUCUUGAAUUCUGCAAGACAGCUGUUUCCUUCCUUUCAGUCUGAAUCAGAGAGGUUUGCAGCAAAAGCCAUUUUGGAGAGACCAGGUCAAGUUCAGCCUUCUCAGAUCCAAUUUUGCCACUACCAUGACCCACAGGAGAAAUUCCUCCCAGCUUGGGACUGUGCUAUCUCGGAUGACGUGACAGCGACAAGCCAUUUAGAGUGUGACUUGGGGCUUUUCAGAAGCGCAGAUGCACGGGAGGUCUGCAUUCAGGUAGUGACAGGUCACAAGGACAGCCGUGGAGGCUCCAAAAUUGGCCUGGGAAUUGGGAUUCAGUUCCACAGGAUGGGGCGGGGCCUGAGUCUCUGCAUUUCUGACAGGCUCUGAGGGGCUGCUGCAGCUGCUGGUCUCAGCCGGUUUUGCACUAGCGAAGCUCUCGACCCAGGCCGCCCACAGGAAACAGAAUGCCAGCCAGAUACAGG